Molecule: long non-coding RNA, 5806 nt
Filed under: Sus scrofa (pig)
Lineage: Eukaryota; Metazoa; Chordata; Mammalia; Artiodactyla; Suidae
Description: lncRNA (ENSSSCG00030018856.1)
Source: RNAcentral
UUUUUUCAUGCUCUCUUCCAUCUUGUUCUAUCCCAAGGGACUGGAUAUAGUUCCCUGUGCUGCACAGCAGGAGCUCACGGUAGACUUGCAUGUUAGAAGGAUUAUUCUGGGAGUUCCCACGGUAGUGCUCCAGGGUCGGUGGCAUCUCUGCAGCCCCAGGCUGCAGAUUCCACCCCUGACCCGGCAGCGUGGGUGAAAGGAUCUGGUGCAGCGGCAGCUGCAGCAUAGGUUGCACCUGAGGCUCAGAUCCACCCCCUGGCCUGGGAACUCCCUAUGCCUUGGAGAGGCCAAAAAAGGAAAGAAAGGGAUGAGUCUGGCUGUGGUGGAGAACAGACCAAAGGGAGGGAUGGGGCAAGACUAGAAGCGCAGAGGCUGGUCAAGUGAGUUAACCCAGGGGAGAUGGUGGUGCAGGGAACUGGUUCACGAGUUAACCCGGUGGUGCAGGAAAUCAAGAUGUAGCUUUGGGGGUGUGUGUUUACAAGCUGCAGCCAGCAGGACUUCCUACGGUUUCAUCGUAGGUUUGGAGAGUCAGAGGAGUCAGAGAUGGCUCCAGUGCUUUAAGCCCAAGCCAGAGGAAAGAUGGACCUGACAUGGACAAGUGUGGGAAAGCUGUGCGUGCCGCCCAGGUUUGGGGGGAAUCAGAGUUUGGUUUCGUCGUGCAUCUUGCGGUAUCUACCAGCGGUCUAGGGAUCAACCACGUAAGCACUUAGAAAUGCAGAGUGGCGCUCGGGAAGGAGCGAUGCUGGAGGAGUGAAUGUGGUGGAGUUGCUGGCACAGGGAAUUCUAAGCUCUGGAGGAGCUCCUUGGAGGGAAGAAGUGCGGUGUCUUGGAAGGAAGGAGAAGGUGGCUUUUACCAAAGAGGAGGGAGCAGUCAGUGGUGUCAGGUGCUGCUGAGAGGGCAACUGAGAACCCAGAAUUGAUCACUGUAUUUAGCAAAAUGAAAGUUGUCCGUGUCCUUGGCAAGGUCAAUUUCAGUGAUGCGAUGGGAGUAAAAUCCUGAUUAGACUGAGUUGAAGAGAGAAUGGAAAGAAAUGAAUUGGAGGCAAGAAGUCUACGCAAUUCUUUUGAAAUGUUUAGAUGCAAGGGAGACAGAAGAAGUGAGUGGGAAAAGUGGGUUCAAGAAAAAAUUGUAGUGCUAUAAUGAUGGAAGAAAUAAUAUUUUUUAAAAUGGUGAUGACGUAGAGAGGGGAAAAUCAGGGACCGAGGAGACGGGGGUCAAGGGCGAGAGCUGUCACUCGAGAUUGGAUGAGAUCUGGUGCAAAAGUGAAGGGACAGGCUUUCAAUAACAACACGGAUAAGCUGAUCCCUAGUGGCAGCAGGCGGAAGGCAGAGGAUAUGGGGAUAGAUUUUCAAUGGUUGAAUUUGCUUUUAAAGACAUUUUCUCAGUGUGGCCCUAAAAAGCAAAGGCGGGUGGCGGGGGGGGAGAACAAUGAAAGAAAAAAGAAAAAGAAGCCCUGGCUUUACCAGCUAGGCCACUCUAAUCGGGUCUUUCUCUGAGUCCAUUCUAGAAGAUACAAGUCCUGUUCUUUCUCCUCAUGGUGGUUGACAAAGACACAUCCCCUUCGUUCCUCUAGUUUCUGUUUCACCACAUGACUUCUUACCAUAGCCAUCUGGCCACUUCCCCUCCCGUUUGGACCUCAUGUUACAUCGGGACUUGUGGCGAGUGCCCCCGCCCUGGUUCUCAUUCUGCCCCCUGUUCUCCACCCCCCGCUCUGUGGGUUUCUGGUCUCGUUUCCAGCACUUCAGUUUCCUCAGCUGUGAAGAAGGGAGACCGUUUUCUUCCUGCCUCCAAGGCCAAGAGUUUAAAUAGGUCCAAGACACGCGAUGGCUUUAACCAACCCAAGGAUGGCUUUAACCAACCCAAGGAAAGAGGAAGAAGAGGGAGGUGGGAGCUAGCACAGGAGAAACAAGAUGAGAAGACUUGGCUUUGCCUGCGGCUUUUCGUAGCCAGGGUGGGGGCUGAGCCCCAGCUGUGUCAUCUCCAAGCCUUAGAUGCGUAGGAGCGCCCAGGUGUUGCAGACUGUGUCAGGUGUCGUGUUUAUAGUCACCAGAGACAAAGAAAUCUGCUUACACUUAGAAUCUGCAGACCCACUGAUAGUAGGUAACAGUUACUGAGUGAUACCUACCUCCUAGGCAAUUGGCUCAGCUCUUUCCAUAGGCGAUUGAAUCCUUGGCCACACAAUAUCUGGAGAGAUACGUGCUUUUGUCCGCAUUUCAGAAACCAAGAGAGAGGGAAAGAAAGAGAAGGGCUCAAAUAACUGGAAAUCCUGCAGCUCCUCGGCGGCCACUUUGCAAGCAAAUAGAUUCCAUGUGCACUUGCAUGUGGUUAUGCAGGUGUCUCCAGGUUUAGCUCUGUUACCCGGGCUACUCUCCACUCUGCCAGGAGUUCAUCCUCAUUUACUCAUAAGCCACCCUGGUGUAUUUGGGAAUCAAUUGAUCAAGUUUGACUUCCGCACAACUGUUCAAAAACAUGCUUGCAGAUGACUGAAAUUCACGUUGUUAGCACAUGUGGGGCACACAGCAGCUGACCGCAAAGGACCCACGAACGAUCCCUCCACCAGGAAGCUCAGAUCCCUCUCUCUGUAGGAACGGAGAUUAUUCACGCACGCACUCAUUCAGAAUUACCGAGGGCGCGCCGAGGGCCGCAGUUUAGGUAAACACAAAUCAACGUAGAAUUACAAUGCUUGGAGCAAAGAGAUGCACCACCAAGACCUUUAUCCUACCUGGCUCUUUUAGACACAGCAUUGCGGGGGUCUGGACCUCUGGAGCCAGGCUGCCGGGCUUAAAUGCCUGGGUCUGCCGCUUAAAGGCUGCACGACCCUGCUUUGCUUAAAAUCUCCCCUGGCCUCCGUUUCCUGCCUAAAGUAUGAGGACAGGAAUCGUACUUUCCUCCUAGGGUUGCUUUGAGGACUAGAGUGAACACAGGUUAGGGGCCUUGGAGCAGGGCCCGGCCCAUCACAAGCACAGUGUUAUAGCUCCUAUCAUUACUGGUGUUGUGAGAGAUUUGCCAGAACAGCUGCUGAUGUGUGACCAUAACUCUGCAAAGAACACCAAGUGCCCGUAAGUGUCUGCUGGCUACAACUUCCUUGACGUCUGACUGUGUCCCCCGCCCCAUCCCCGUGGACACGCCUAGAGCAGCCCUGGAUGCUUCGCCUGUCCUAUUUCCUCAUUUUGAAUCCAGCGUCCAGUCGGUCAUUGUCCUUUGCUGCCUCCUUCCUGCUUGUUUUCCUUGGGGAAAACGGCAAGCGGACCCUUUUUGCAUCCUGGAGCCUCAGAGGGAUCUUCCUUCCUUGUCACUGUUAGAGCUCUUAUUAAUUUUAUUUUUAACAUUUUUUUAAAUGAAAGUAUAGUUGGUUGACAAAGCUGUGCCAAUUUCUGCUGCACAGCAAAGGGACCCAGGCACAACGCAUAUAUAUAUAUACAUUUUUUUUCUUAUAUUAUCCUCCAUCAUGGUCUGUCCUAAGAGACGGGCUACAGGUCCCUGCGCUGUUCAGCAGGACCUCAUUGCUUACCCAUUCUCAGUGUAAUAGUUUGCAUCUGCCAACCCCAAACUCCCAGUCCAUCCCACCCCUUCCCCCCUUAUUAAUUUUAUCUUAAAUUCUUUUUAUUAUGUUUCUUACUACCAAAGUAAUAGGUAAAACAAUCCAAACAUACAGAAAUUUGUGGCAGGAAGUAAACUGCCCUAAUAAUCCCACAUCCAGAGAUAACCACAGUUAACUGCUUGUUAUAUAUGCUUUAGCACACAUCUUCUUGACAAAAUAUACAAAUAAAAAUGGGAUCAUAUGAUUCAUUUUGUUUCACAACUUGCCUUUUCCACUUAUAAAUCUUGGACAUUCUUCUGUGUUAGUACCAAUAGGUCUCUUAUUUUUAUAAAAUAAGUGAAAUUUGCUUAACCAUUCCCUAGCGGGAUAUUGUUAUGAGGCCUUUACACAACUAUAGGUUUCCUCUACUGCAAACAAUGCUGCAAUAAACAUACCUGUGCAUGUAUUUUUAUACAUCGUGUAAAUAUUUCUGAAAUACAUACUUUUUGCACCCAUAUGUACAAAGUAAAAAUGCCUGGAGCUCCCUUGUGGCACAAUGGGUUAAGGAUCCAGCAUUGUCACUGCAGUAGCUUGGGUCACAGCUGCAGUGCAGGUUCGAUCCCCUGGCCCAGGACGUUCUACAUGCCCUGAGUGCAGCCAACAAAAAGAAAAAGAAAAAGAAAGCAUAAAAUCCCAGAUGUGGCAUUGCCUGGUCAAAAAACCCCCCACAAAUAUUAUUUUUAUCCCCAAUGGCCAAACUGUCCUCCAAAGAGACUUACCCAACUUGCAGUCAUAUUUAUAAGAACAAGUACCUGUUUCUCUACUUUUGAUUGUUUUCUGAGUAUUACUUUUUUCUUUGCUCAGUUUUAUCCCAACCUUGUAAUCCCAUUUCCUCUCGAACCUAGAAUCAGAGUUUAAAAACCUGGGGAAGAUCAAAACAUAGACCAGUGUUUUUACAAACAGCAAAACCUUCCACAUUAAUUGUGGUCGUGACGUGUUUUCAGUCAAAAUAUCACAGCACUAGAUGCUAAGCGUUUUAACACAGCUCUAACCUCCCAGAUCGGCGAACCCCUGCGGUGAUUAGAUCACCUGCCCCACAGCUCCUGCCUACACACCUCCUUCUUGGCUGGGCAUGUGGAAUAGGAGAGGCUGCUGGCCUGGGGGACAGGGCACGGAGGGCGAAAUCAAGAGGCUGGAAGGACACGACAUUCAGUGUCACCUUGCAGGCAGCCUAGGGCUGUCCCUUGAGUGUGUUCUGGACCCCCAUUCAUACUCCUCCUCCUCCUCGGGGCUUCUCUGCUUUACUUCCAGUGCCCCAGGAACACUUAUUCACUCUCCAAGGGUGGGUUCCAGCCCCUUCUCUCUGAACCCUUUCCUGAAUCCCCAGAAGCCCCCUCUCCUUACUGCCUCACUACAUCUGGACUCACACCUUCUCGAGAACCUGCAAUUUUCCCCAACACGCUUCUGAGGAACAUUCAGAGGCUAAGUUCUUGUCGAAUGAACAUCUCCCGACAGGGAGAGAUCUUCGGUAGAAGGGAGCUGAGAGGCCCAUUGUUCAAAGGAACAAGAGGAUUCCGAUAAAAGGAGAUACGGAAGGACGGGGCUUGAACCAUCCGUCCUGUUAAAAACCAACAAUUCCAAACAUUCCUCCAGAUGUUAGUCCUUGACCCCUGCUUCUCCCCACCCACGAGAGAGACGGCAAAUAUACUUUGAUCUUACAACAAAAACAAGAGAGAAAACUACUGGGUUGGAAAACACCGCUUUGCGUAGGACAACCUUUCAUUUGCCUGCUGGACAUUUUUGGCAAAAAAGAACUNGGGGGGGGGGGGGCCCGCGGGGGAGGGGAGGGAGCGGGGAGUAGACUCGGACUUAAGCAAGAACUUACUCUAGCAUGUCUCUAACAGCAGAGACAGAACGAAUGAGGCCAGGAAGCUAUCCGUGCCAAGAUAAAGUUGUGUUUGCCCUAAAUCCCAGAUAAGUACGUUCUCCGUAGGGUUGGAAGCCGCUGGAAUGGCUUCUCAGCAAAAUCGCCCCCUACCAUUUCCGUGCAUUUUCUCCGAUCUGACGAUCAGACUUUCAGCCGCCAAGACAGCCCCAGGAAGGGCGCAGAAGGUUCCCGAGGUGGCCUCGCGCCCGCCUUGGCGGCACUGGCGGCCGGGCACCGCGCCUCGCCCAGGUGGCCGCUUGACAGACGAGCCUCCGGGCGCCCCCGAUCCCCGGCGGCCGCCCCUCCCCGCCGCGUGCACCUGCGCGCCGUCCAGCCGCCGCCGGGGCCCGACGCCGGG